Molecule: ribosomal RNA, 234 nt
Filed under: uncultured bacterium
Lineage: Bacteria
Description: partial 16S ribosomal RNA
Rfam family: Bacterial small subunit ribosomal RNA
Source: RNAcentral
UGAAGAAUUUGUCCAACGGCGGGGAAUAGCCGGCCCAACGGCCGGGUAAUACCGCGUACGACCCUCGGGGGGCAUCCCCUGAAGGUGAAAGCCGCAAGGCGCCGAUGGAGAACUUCGCGGCCUAUCAGCUAGUUGGUGAGGUCAUGGCUCACCAAGGCGACGACGGGUAGCUGGUCUGAGAGGAUGGCCAGCCACAUUGGGACUGAGACACGGCCCAGACUCGUACGGGAGCAG